Solanum lycopersicum (tomato) is the source of this 725-nucleotide long non-coding RNA. RefSeq lists it as uncharacterized. NCBI's taxonomy places the organism in Eukaryota, Viridiplantae, Streptophyta, Magnoliopsida, Solanales, Solanaceae. The record is from RefSeq and is a predicted model, not a curated record.
GAAGGAGAAGGAGAAAGAGAAGGAGAAGCAGAAAGAAAAAGCAAAAGAGAAAAAGAAAGGGGAGAAAGUCAAAGUUGUUAGUUGUGAUGUGAAGCGAUAAUAUCUAUUUGAAGGUUUUAACAUUGACGGCGAGGGUCCAACUGAACUAAUGUCAUCCAUCUCUCAAUGGAUAAAAGAGGGUCUUUACAAGCAUCAUGCAAAAAAUUGCAGAGGAAACAAGAAGGAUCACUACUUAGCCAAUUGUUCAAAUCUUGAAUUCGACGAACUUGAUUUUGUAGUUGCAUUUCCAAUGAAUAAGGACUGGUUCUACGUAAUGUCUCAACCCAAUAGGUGCUGGAAUGAUGAGAGAUUGUGGAAUUUUUGUUGCUGCAUAUGCUAAGCAUUUGAGUGAUGGAUUACAAGUACCAUCAUGUGGAAUUAAUGAUGACGCCCUUCGCUUGAGAUAUAAUUCACUCCUAUGGGAUUAUGGUAUUGUAAAGGCUCGAAAUGGUUACAUUAUUAAUAAUGAAGACCCAGAGAUGCGUAGAACUAAAAAAAAUCUAAGAUCGUUGAAAAUAUUGCGUUUACAACCAUUGAUUAGAUAGGUGGCUAUGGAUAUCAAUCAUAUCAUUGUGAAUUACCUUUUUGUUGAUAAUUUGUAUAAAACAAUUGGUGAAGUCUUAAUUAAAAUGUAAUUUAUGUAGUAAUAAACACGACAAAAUUAUAUGUAGCAACAGUUCGUAUAA